RNAcentral lists this microRNA (23 nucleotides) under Pristionchus pacificus. RNAcentral's name for it is "ppc-miR-2251b-3p". Lineage: Eukaryota; Metazoa; Nematoda; Chromadorea; Rhabditida; Neodiplogasteridae. The record is from miRBase by way of RNAcentral.
UAACUGGGAUUCUGUGGAGAUCU